RNAcentral lists this transfer RNA (75 nucleotides) under Candidatus Peregrinibacteria bacterium. RNAcentral describes it as "tRNA-Phe". It matches the Rfam family "tRNA". From Rfam's summary of the family: Transfer RNA (tRNA) molecules are approximately 80 nucleotides in length. Lineage: Bacteria; Candidatus Peregrinibacteriota. The record is from RNAcentral.
GGCCUGGUAGCUCAGUGGUAGAGCGAGGGACUGAAAAUCCCUGCGUCGGUGGUUCAAUUCCGCCCCGGGCCACCA